AUUGAACGCUGGCGGCAUGCCUUACACAUGCAAGUCGAACGGCAGCACGGGAGCAAUCCUGGUGGCGAGUGGCGAACGGGUGAGUAAUAUAUCGGAACGUGCCCAGUCGUGGGGAUAACGUAGCGAAAGCUACGCUAAUACCGCAUACGAUCUAUGGAUGAAAGCGGGGGAUCGCAAGACCUCGCGCGAUUGGAGCGGCCGAUAUCAGAUUAGGUAGUUGGUGAGGUAAAGGCUCACCAAGCCGACGAUCUGUAGCUGGUCUGAGAGGACGACCAGCCACACUGGGACUGAGACACGGCCCAGACUCCUACGGGAGGCGGCAGUGGGGAAGUUUUGGACAAUGGGCGGCAAGCCUGAUCCAGCAAUGCCGCGUGCAGGAUGAAGGCC
RNAcentral lists this ribosomal RNA (387 nucleotides) under uncultured bacterium. Its description in RNAcentral is "bacterial SSU rRNA". It matches the Rfam family "Bacterial small subunit ribosomal RNA", at positions 29 to 416 of the family's 1533-position model. The record is from RNAcentral.